UUUCCCUUCUCAUUAUCAGCAUCGCCACGUUUUCUUGCUGCCAUUUUGGACUUGGAGCAGGGAGAAACAGGUUUCAGGAUUAUAAAAAUACUUAAUGCAGUGUAAAAACUGCAAAUUCAGCAUUUCGAGUGAAGACGUCCUUCUAAAGCACUAUCGGCUGCAUCACCCAAGCAUUUCCAGCUGGCCUUGUAUUCAUACGGGGUGUGUUUGUGUCUUCAGGACAGCAGGUGAAUGAUGUUGUUAAUCACAGAAGGACUACUGCUUUGAAAGGCCUGCCUUUGUUUCUUCGAGAGGAUCCAAACGAGCUGUUCAAGACAUGCAAAGACACCGAAGAUGGGGCAAAAGGAGUGUCUAUUGCCAUUCUGUGUGUUUUGGCAGAUGACACCCAGGCGACAUCACCCGAGGUUGUAAAUAUUGCUGUUGUGUUGGAGCAGGUCGUCGUUUUGAAAGAUCUCCCAUGUCCUAUCCUCAAGCUCUUAAGUACACUUUUGACACCAUUCAGAAUGUUUUCAUAGAGCUGGGAUCUUGAUGCACCAAACGUGUACUUUCUCUGAAGAACAAACUGUUAUAAAGAAAAUCAGUAAUCAGAAAAUCAAAAAUCAGUUGCAGUAAGCAUGUCUGUUCUUAUAAAUGGUUGUUUAAAAUUGAGGGAUAGU
Long non-coding RNA from Carassius auratus (goldfish), 656 nucleotides. RefSeq lists it as uncharacterized. The record is from RefSeq and is a predicted model, not a curated record. The transcript is spliced from 4 exons. NCBI's taxonomy places the organism in Eukaryota, Metazoa, Chordata, Actinopteri, Cypriniformes, Cyprinidae.